AGCAGCCGCGGUAAUUCCAGCUCCAAUAGCGUAUAUUAAAGUUGUUGCAGUUAAAAAGCUCGUAGUUGAACUUCGGGGUUUACCCAUUGGUCAGGCUUAAUUGUCUGUACUGGUGAGAUAAAUCUCUACCUUCUGAGGAACUUUCAUGCCAUUUAUUUGGUGUGAUUGGAAAUCAGGACUAUUACUUUGAAAAAAUUAGAGUGUUUAAAGCAGGCUAACGUCUGAAUAUAUUAGCAUGGAAUAAUGAAAUAGGACGGCUUGGUUCUAUUUCGUUGGUUUCUAGGAUCACCGUAAUGAUUAAUAGGGAUAGUUGGGGGCAUUAGUAUUCAAUUGUCAGAGGUGAAAUUCUUGGAUUUAUUGAAGACUAACUACUGCGAAAGCAUUUGCCAAGGAUGUUUUCAUUAAUCAAGAACGAAAGUUAGGGGAUCGAAGACGAUCAGAUACCGUCGU
Molecule: ribosomal RNA, 450 nt
Filed under: uncultured Glomeromycotina
Lineage: Eukaryota; Fungi; Glomeromycota
Description: SSU rRNA
Rfam family: Eukaryotic small subunit ribosomal RNA
Source: RNAcentral